GACGAACGCUGGCGGCGUGCUUAACACAUGCAAGUCGAACGGAAAGGCCCUGCUUUUGUGGGGUGCUCGAGUGGCGAACGGGUGAGUAACACGUGAGUAACCUGCCCUUGACUUUGGGAUAACUUCAGGAAACUGGGGCUAAUACCGGAUAGGAGCUCCUGCUGCAUGGUGGGGGUUGGAAAGUUUCGGCGGUUGGGGAUGGACUCGCGGUUUAUCAGCUUGUUGGUGGGGUAGUGGCUUACCAAGGCUUUGACGGGUAGCCGGCCUGAGAGGGUGACCGGCCACAUUGGGACUGAGAUACGGCCCAGACGCCUACGGGAGGCAGCAGUGGGGAAUAUUGCACAAUGGGCGGAAGCCGGAUGCAGCAACGCCGCGUGCGGGAUGACGGCCUUCGGGUUGUAAACCGCUUUCGCCUGUGACGAAGCGUGAGUGACGGUAAUGGGUAAAGAAGCACCGGCUAACUACGUG
This 468-nucleotide ribosomal RNA is filed under the name uncultured bacterium. RNAcentral describes it as "partial 16S ribosomal RNA". It matches the Rfam family "Bacterial small subunit ribosomal RNA", at positions 28 to 507 of the family's 1533-position model. The record is from RNAcentral.